AUAGGUCUCGAUUGCUGGAAUGCAUCGAGAUUUAAAGCUCCGGCGCCUAAGGAUGGGUCUGCGGCCUAUCAGGUAGUAGUGGGGUGUAGCGUACCUACUAGCCUACGACGGGUACGGGUUGUGAGAGCAAGAGCCCGGAGAUGGAUUCUGAGACACGAAUCCAGGCCCUACGGGGUGCAGCAGGCGCGAAAACUUUACAAUGCUGGCAACAGCGAUAAGGGAACCUCGAGUGCCAGGUUACAAAUCUGGCUGUCGAGAUGCCUAAAAAGCAUUUCAUAGCAAGGGCCGGGCAAGACCGGUGCCAGCCGCCGCGGUAACACCGGCGGCUCGAGUGGUAACCGUUAUUAUUGGGUCUAAAGGGUCUGUAGCCGGCCGGAUAAGUCUCUUGAGAAAUCUGGCAGCUUAACUGUCAGGCUUUCAGGAGAUACUGUCUGGCUCGAGGCCGGGAGAGGUGAGAGGUACUUCAGGGGUAGGGGUGAAAUCUUGUAAUCCUUGAAGGACCACCAGUGGCGAAGGCGUCUCACCAGAACGGACCUGACGGCAAGGGACGAAAGCUAGGGGCACGAACCGGAUUAGAUACCCGGGUAGUCCUAGCCGUAAACGAUACUCGCUAGGUGUCGGCCACGGUGCGACCGUUGUCGGUGCCGUAGGGAAGCCGUGAAGCGAGCCACCUGGGAAGUACGGCCGCAAGGCUGAAACUUAAAGGAAUUGGCGGGGGAGCACCACAACGGGCGGAGCUUGCGGUUUAAUUGGAUUCAACGCCGGGAAGGGCG
This 773-nucleotide ribosomal RNA is filed under the name uncultured archaeon. RNAcentral's name for it is "bacterial SSU rRNA". It matches the Rfam family "Archaeal small subunit ribosomal RNA", at positions 156 to 929 of the family's 1478-position model. The record is from RNAcentral.